CCUACGGGUGGCUGCAGUGAGGAAUAUUGGUCAAUGGCCGAGAGGCUGAACCAGCCAAGUCGCGUGAGGGAAGACGGCUCUACGGGUUGUAAACCUCUUUUGUCGGGGAGUAAAGCGAACCACGUGUGGUUCAUUGAGUGUACCCGAAGAAUAAGCAUCGGCUAACUCCGUGCCAGCAGCCGCGGUAAUACGGAGGAUGCGAGCGUUAUCCGGAUUUAUUGGGUUUAAAGGGUGCGCAGGCGGAGGUGCAAGUCAGCGGUCAAAUUGUGGGGCUCAACCCCGUACUGCCGUUGAAACUGCAUCCCUUGAGUGCGCGAGAAGUAGGCGGAAUGCGUGGUGUAGCGGUGAAAUGCAUAGAUAUCACGCAGAACUCCGAUUGCGAAGGCAGCAUACCGGCGCGCAACUGACGCUCAUGCACGAAAGCGUGGGUAUCGAACAGGAUUAGAUACCCGGGUAGUC
This 459-nucleotide ribosomal RNA is filed under the name uncultured bacterium. RNAcentral's name for it is "partial 16S ribosomal RNA". It matches the Rfam family "Bacterial small subunit ribosomal RNA", at positions 338 to 795 of the family's 1533-position model. The record is from RNAcentral.